RNAcentral lists this ribosomal RNA (406 nucleotides) under uncultured bacterium. RNAcentral describes it as "partial 16S ribosomal RNA". It matches the Rfam family "Bacterial small subunit ribosomal RNA", at positions 30 to 526 of the family's 1533-position model. The record is from RNAcentral.
AUUGAACGCUGGAGGCAGGCCUAACAAAUGCAAGUCGAACGAGUGGCGGACGGGUGAGUAAUGUCUGGGAAACUGCCUGAUGGCAGGGGAUAACUACUGGAAACGGUAGCUAAUACCGCAUACCCUCGGAUGUGCCCAGAUGGGAUUAGCGAGUGGGUGGGUUAAAGGCUCACCUAGGCGACGAUCCCUAUCUGGUCUGCGGGGAUAACGAGCAACACUGGAACUGAUGAACGGUCAAGACUCCUAAGGGAGGCAGCAGUGGGGAAUAUUGCACAAUGGGCGAAAGCCUGAUGCAGCCAUGCCGCGUGGAUAAAGAAGGCCUUCGGGUUGUAAAGUACUUUCAGCUGGGAGGCGUUACCCGAAGAAGAAGCACGGGCUAACUCCUGUCCAGACGCCGCGGUAAUAC